GGUGAGGUAAUGGCUCACCAAGGCGACGAUCCGUAACUGGUCUGAGAGGAUGAUCAGUCACACUGGAACUGAGACACGGUCCAGACUCCUACGGGAGGCAGCAGUGGGGAAUAUUGGACAAUGGGCGAAAGCCUGAUCCAGCCAUGCCGCGUGUGUGAAGAAGGUCUUCGGAUUGUAAAGCACUUUAAGUUGGGAGGAAGGGUUGUAGAUUAAUACUCUGCAAUUUUGACGUUACCGACAGAAUAAGCACCGGCUAACUCUGUGCCAGCAGCCGCGGUAAUACAGAGGGUGCAAGCGUUAAUCGGAAUUACUGGGCGUAAAGCGCGCGUAGGUGGUUUGUUAAGUUGGAUGUGAAAUCCCCGGGCUCAACCUGGGAACUGCAUCCAAAACUGGCAAGCUAGAGUAGGGCAGAGGGUGGUGGAAUUUCCUGUGUAGCGGUGAAAUGCGUAGAUAUAGGAAGGAACACCAGUGGCGAAGGCGACCACCUGGGCUCAUACUGACACUGAGGUGCGAAAAGCGUGGGGGAGCAAACAGGAUUAGAUACCCCUGGUAGUCCACGCCGUAAACGAUGUCAACUAGCCCGUUGGGAGUCUUGAACUCUUAGUGGCGCAGCUAACGCAUUAAGUUGACCGCCUGGGGGAGUACGGCCCGCAAGGUUAAAACUCAAAUGAAUUUGACGGGGGGCCCGCACAAGCGGUGGAGCAUGUGGUUUAAUUCGAAGCAACGCGAAGAACCUUACCAGGCCUUGACAUCCAAUGAACUUUCCAGAGAUGGAUGGGUGCCUUCGGGAACAUUGAGACAGGUGCUGCAUGGCUGUCGUCCAGCUCGUGUCGUGAGAUGUUGGGUUAAGUCCCGUAACGAGCGCAACCCUUGUCCUUAGUUACCAGCACGUUAUGGUGGGCACUCUAAGGAGACUGCCGGUGACAAACCGGAGGAAGGUGGGGAUGACGUCAAGUCAUCAUGGCCC
RNAcentral lists this ribosomal RNA (967 nucleotides) under Pseudomonas sp. RNAcentral's name for it is "bacterial SSU rRNA". It matches the Rfam family "Bacterial small subunit ribosomal RNA", at positions 251 to 1201 of the family's 1533-position model. The record is from RNAcentral. Lineage: Bacteria; Pseudomonadati; Pseudomonadota; Gammaproteobacteria; Pseudomonadales; Pseudomonadaceae.